GGACUCGCAGGUCAAUUGUGAAAUACCUGGGCUCAACCCCGGAACUGCCUUUGAAACUAGGUUGCUAGAAUCUUGGAGAGGUCAGUGGAAUUCCGAGUGUAGAGGUGAAAUUCGUAGAUAUUCGGAAGAACACCAGUGGCGAAGGCGGCUCACUGGACGAUUGUUGACGCUGAGGUGCGAAAGCGUGGGGAGCAAACAG
Molecule: ribosomal RNA, 199 nt
Filed under: uncultured bacterium
Lineage: Bacteria
Description: partial 16S ribosomal RNA
Rfam family: Bacterial small subunit ribosomal RNA
Source: RNAcentral